RNAcentral lists this transfer RNA (63 nucleotides) under Mytella strigata. RNAcentral's name for it is "Musculus strigatus tRNA-Pro". The record is from RNAcentral. Lineage: Eukaryota; Metazoa; Mollusca; Bivalvia; Mytilida; Mytilidae.
UUAGAGAUAGUUUAUUUUAGAACUUUAACUUUGGGAGUUAAGAGUGCCUUUGGGUUCUUUAAA